This 497-nucleotide ribosomal RNA is filed under the name uncultured bacterium. RNAcentral's name for it is "partial 16S ribosomal RNA". It matches the Rfam family "Bacterial small subunit ribosomal RNA", at positions 28 to 507 of the family's 1533-position model. The record is from RNAcentral.
GAUGAACGCUGGCGGCGUGCCUAAUACAUGCAAGUCGAGCGAACAGACGAGGAGCUUGCUCCUCUGACGUUAGCGGCGGACGGGUGAGUAACACGUGGAUAACCUACCUAUAAGUCUGGGAUAACUUCGGGAAACAGGAGCUAAUACCGGAUAAUAUAUUGAACCGCAUGGUUCAAUAGAGAAAGACGGUUUUGCUGUCACUUAUAGAUGGAUCCGCGCCGCAUUAGCUAGUUGGUAAGGUAACGGCUUACCAAGGCAACGAUGCGUAGCUGACCUGAGAGGGUGAUCGGCCACACUGGAACUGAGACACGGUCCAGACUCCUACGGGAGGCAGCAGUAGGGAAUCUUCCGCAAUGGGCGAAAGCCUGACGGAGCAACGCCGCGUGAGUGAUGAAGGUCUUCGGAUCGUAAAACUCUGUUAUUAGGGAAGAACAAAUGUGUAAGUAACUAUGCACGUCUUGACGGUACCUAAUCAGAAAGCCACGGCUAACUACGUG